Molecule: ribosomal RNA, 2414 nt
Filed under: Bacillus cereus TIAC219
Lineage: Bacteria; Bacillati; Bacillota; Bacilli; Caryophanales; Bacillaceae
Description: bacterial LSU rRNA
Rfam family: Bacterial large subunit ribosomal RNA
Source: RNAcentral
UUAAGUUAGAAAGGGCGCACGGUGGAUGCCUUGACACUAGGAGUCGAUGAAGGACGGGACUAACGCCGAUAUGCUUCGGGGAGCUGUAAGUAAGCUUUGAUCCGAAGAUUUCCGAAUGGGGAAACCCACUAUACGUAAUGGUAUGGUAUCCUUACCUGAAUACAUAGGGUAUGGAAGACAGACCCAGGGAACUGAAACAUCUAAGUACCUGGAGGAAGAGAAAGCAAAUGCGAUUUCCUGAGUAGCGGCGAGCGAAACGGAACAUAGCCCAAACCAAGAGGCUUGCCUCUUGGGGUUGUAGGACAUUCUAUACGGAGUUACAAAGGAACGAGGUAGACGAAGCGACCUGGAAAGGUCCGUCGUAGAGGGUAACAACCCCGUAGUCGAAACUUCGUUCUCUCUUGAAUGUAUCCUGAGUACGGCGGAACACGUGAAAUUCCGUCGGAAUCUGGGAGGACCAUCUCCCAAGGCUAAAUACUCCCUAGUGAUCGAUAGUGAACCAGUACCGUGAGGGAAAGGUGAAAAGCACCCCGGAAGGGGAGUGAAAGAGAUCCUGAAACCGUGUGCCUACAAAUAGUCAGAGCCCGUUAAUGGGUGAUGGCGUGCCUUUUGUAGAAUGAACCGGCGAGUUACGAUCCCGUGCGAGGUUAAGCUGAAGAGGCGGAGCCGCAGCGAAAGCGAGUCUGAAUAGGGCGUUUAGUACGUGGUCGUAGACCCGAAACCAGGUGAUCUACCCAUGUCCAGGGUGAAGUUCAGGUAACACUGAAUGGAGGCCCGAACCCACGCACGUUGAAAAGUGCGGGGAUGAGGUGUGGGUAGCGGAGAAAUUCCAAUCGAACCUGGAGAUAGCUGGUUCUCCCCGAAAUAGCUUUAGGGCUAGCCUUAAGUGUAAGAGUCUUGGAGGUAGAGCACUGAUUGAACUAGGGGUCCUCAUCGGAUUACCGAAUUCAGUCAAACUCCGAAUGCCAAUGACUUAUCCUUAGGAGUCAGACUGCGAGUGAUAAGAUCCGUAGUCAAGAGGGAAACAGCCCAGAUCGCCAGCUAAGGUCCCAAAGUGUGUAUUAAGUGGAAAAGGAUGUGGAGUUGCUUAGACAACUAGGAUGUUGGCUUAGAAGCAGCCACCAUUUAAAGAGUGCGUAAUAGCUCACUAGUCGAGUGACUCUGCGCCGAAAAUGUACCGGGGCUAAAUACACCACCGAAGCUGCGAAUUGAUACCAAUGGUAUCAGUGGUAGGGGAGCGUUCUAAGUGCAGUGAAGUCAGACCGGAAGGACUGGUGGAGCGCUUAGAAGUGAGAAUGCCGGUAUGAGUAGCGAAAGACGGGUGAGAAUCCCGUCCACCGAAUGCCUAAGGUUUCCUGAGGAAGGCUCGUCCGCUCAGGGUUAGUCAGGACCUAAGCCGAGGCCGACAGGCGUAGGCGAUGGACAACAGGUUGAUAUUCCUGUACCACCUCUUUAUCGUUUGAGCAAUGGAGGGACGCAGAAGGAUAGAAGAAGCGUGCGAUUGGUUGUGCACGUCCAAGCAGUUAGGCUGAUAAGUAGGCAAAUCCGCUUAUCGUGAAGGCUGAGCUGUGAUGGGGAAGCUCCUUAUGGAGCGAAGUCUUUGAUUCCCCGCUGCCAAGAAAAGCUUCUAGCGAGAUAAAAGGUGCCUGUACCGCAAACCGACACAGGUAGGCGAGGAGAGAAUCCUAAGGUGUGCGAGAGAACUCUGGUUAAGGAACUCGGCAAAAUGACCCCGUAACUUCGGGAGAAGGGGUGCUUUCUUAACGGAAAGCCGCAGUGAAUAGGCCCAAGCGACUGUUUAGCAAAAACACAGCUCUCUGCGAAGCCGUAAGGCGAAGUAUAGGGGGUGACACCUGCCCGGUGCUGGAAGGUUAAGGAGAGGGGUUAGCGUAAGCGAAGCUCUGAACUGAAGCCCCAGUAAACGGCGGCCGUAACUAUAACGGUCCUAAGGUAGCGAAAUUCCUUGUCGGGUAAGUUCCGACCCGCACGAAAGGUGUAACGAUUUGGGCACUGUCUCAACCAGAGACUCGGUGAAAUUAUAGUACCUGUGAAGAUGCAGGUUACCCGCGACAGGACGGAAAGACCCCGUGGAGCUUUACUGUAGCCUGAUAUUGAAUUUUGGUACAGUUUGUACAGGAUAGGCGGGAGCCAUUGAAACCGGAGCGCUAGCUUCGGUGGAGGCGCUGGUGGGAUACCGCCCUGACUGUAUUGAAAUUCUAACCUACGGGUCUUAUCGACCCGGGAGACAGUGUCAGGUGGGCAGUUUGACUGGGGCGGUCGCCUCCUAAAGUGUAACGGAGGCGCCCAAAGGUUCCCUCAGAAUGGUUGGAAAUCAUUCGUAGAGUGCAAAGGCAUAAGGGAGCUUGACUGCGAGACCUACAAGUCGAGCAGGGACGAAAGUCGGGCUUAGUGAU